UAUGAAGAACGCAGCAAAAUGCGAUAAGUAAUGUGAAUUGCAGAAUUCAGUGAAUCAUCGAAUCUUUGAACGCACAUUGCGCCCGUCAGUAUUCUGACGGGCAUGCCUGUCCGAGCGUCAUUUCAACCCUCAAGCACUGCUUGGCGUUGGCGGAUUGCGUGCCCUCGCGGCGCUGCAACCGCCCAAAUACAGUGGCGGUCCCGCUGCGGCUCCCUUUGCGUAGUAACUCACCUCGCACUGGACCGGGCGGCGGCCUGCCGUAAAACCCCAACUCACGAAAUGUUGACCUCGGAUCAGGUAGGAAUACCCGCUGAACUUAAGCAUAUCAAUAAGCGGAGGA
This 340-nucleotide unclassified non-coding RNA is filed under the name soil metagenome. RNAcentral's name for it is "partial contains 5.8S ribosomal RNA, internal transcribed spacer 2, and large subunit ribosomal RNA". The stretch from base 2 to 120 matches the Rfam family "5.8S ribosomal RNA", at positions 36 to 154 of the family's 154-position model. The record is from RNAcentral.